UACGUAGGGUGCAAGCGUUGUCCGGAAUUAUUGGGCGUAAAGAGCUCGUAGGCGGUCUGUCGCGUCGGCUGUGAAAACCUAAGGCUCACCCGCAGGCCUGCAGUCGAUACGGGCAGACUAGAGUUCGGUAGGGGAGACUGGAAUUCCUGGUGUAGCGGUGAAAUGCGCAGAUAUCAGGAGGAACACCGGUGGCGAAGGCGGGUCUCUGGGCCGAAACUGACGCUGAGGAGCGAAAGCGUGGGGAGCGAACAGG
Molecule: ribosomal RNA, 253 nt
Filed under: uncultured bacterium
Lineage: Bacteria
Description: partial 16S ribosomal RNA
Rfam family: Bacterial small subunit ribosomal RNA
Source: RNAcentral